RNAcentral lists this non-coding RNA (27 nucleotides) under Mus musculus (house mouse). Lineage: Eukaryota; Metazoa; Chordata; Mammalia; Rodentia; Muridae. The record is from RNAcentral.
UAACAUAGUGAAAAUGGCCAUCUUACC